UGCAGAGAAGGCUGCAGAAGAGCUUUCUAACAAGCUGGUAAUUAAGGGCCUUAGGUUGAAAUUGAUGUGGGGCAGACCUCAAGCACCAAAAGCGGAGACUGAAGGGUCUGAUGAAGCGAAACAAGCAGCAGUGGCUCACAGCGGAAUGUUGCCACGAGCAGUUAUCUCGCAGCAGCACAGCCAACUACACCCUCCGGGAACACAUGACCAACCUCAAGCUAUGCACUACUUCAAUAUUCCACCG
RNAcentral lists this unclassified non-coding RNA (244 nucleotides) under Hevea brasiliensis (rubber tree). The record is from RNAcentral. Lineage: Eukaryota; Viridiplantae; Streptophyta; Magnoliopsida; Malpighiales; Euphorbiaceae.